GGCGAGUGAAGCGGCAACAGCUCAAAUUUGAAAGCUAGCCUUCGGGUUCGCAUUGUAAUUUGUAGAGGAUGAUUUGGGGAAGCCGCCUGUCUAAGUUCCUUGGAACAGGACGUCAUAGAGGGUGAGAAUCCCGUAUGUGACAGGAAAUGGCACCCUAUGUAAAUCUCCUUCGACGAGUCGAGUUGUUUGGGAAUGCAGCUCUAAAUGGGAGGUAAAUUUCUUCUAAAGCUAAAUAUUGGCGAGAGACCGAUAGCGCACAAGUAGAGUGAUCGAAAGAUGAAAAGCACUUUGGAAAGAGAGUUAAAAAGCACGUGAAAUUGUUGAAAGGGAAGCGCUUGCAAUCAGACUUGUUUAAACUGUUCGGCCGGUCUUCUGACCGGUUUACUCAGUUUGGACAGGCCAGCAUCAGUUUCGGCGGCCGGAUAAAGGCUCUGGGAAUGUGGCCUCCACUUCGGUGGAGGUGUUAUAGCCCAGGGUGUAAUACGGCCAGCCGGGACUGAGGUCCGCGCUUCGGCUAGGAUGCUGGCGUAAUGGUUGUAAGCGACCCGUCUUGAAACACG
This 560-nucleotide ribosomal RNA is filed under the name Aureobasidium proteae. RNAcentral's name for it is "eukaryotic LSU rRNA". It matches the Rfam family "Eukaryotic large subunit ribosomal RNA", at positions 88 to 663 of the family's 3401-position model. Lineage: Eukaryota; Fungi; Ascomycota; Dothideomycetes; Dothideales; Saccotheciaceae. The record is from RNAcentral.